UUUAUUCUAUUUAUUCUAUUUAUUCAACUAGUCCAUGUGCGAUCACUAAUACAUGUGUUUAUGUGUUCUACCGACAGCAUUGAAGAGUUGAAACAAGAAAAAAAGAGAACAGUUUAAAAUGAAUUGUCCAUACUCCACAGCUGUGGGGCACUGCCCUGAGCUCCCCUUUCAUCGGCAUAGAGACCCUUCCUCCCGUCUGUCCUGGACAGAGAGUUCCUGCCUGGCCUCCAUUAUGUCACAGAACCAAUCAGAACAGAGCUCUGACAUCCUCAGUCAGGAUGUGUUCAACCAGCUGCUGGAGAUGCUGGACCAGUCAGCGUUCCACUCGUCGCAGCCCAUAGAGUUGAACUUCUCAGACAGUCCAGCAGACGAAGAUGGACCAGCAGGGAACACCAUUCAGAUCAGCAUGGACUGUAUCACCAUGCAUGAGGGACAGGAACCACUGUCUUCCCAGUACACCAACCUGGGGCUGCUGAACAGCAUGGAUCAGAACAUCCAAAAUGGCGGCUCUACCUCCACCAGUCCCUACAACAACGACCAUGUCCAGAACAACGUGUCCGCUCCUUCACCCUACGCCCAGCCCAGCUCCACCUUCGACGCCAUGUCCCCCUCCCCGGCUAUCCCCUCCAACACAGACUACGCCGGGACACACACCUUUGACGUCUCCUUCCAGCAGUCCUCCACAGCCAAGUCUGCCACCUGGACGUACUCUACAGAGCUGAAGAAGCUGUACUGUCAGAUCGCCAAGACGUGUCCCAUCCAGAUCAAGGUGCUGACCAACCCCCCGCAGGGCGCCGUCAUCAGAGCCAUGCCCGUUUACAAGAAGGCAGAGCACGUCACCGAGGUGGUCAAACGCUGCCCCAACCACGAGCUCAGCCGCGAGUUCAACGACGGUCAGAUAGCCCCUCCCAGUCACCUGAUCCGAGUGGAGGGUAACAACCACUCCCAGUAUCUGGAGGACUCCAUCACGGGCCGUCAGAGUGUCUUGGUCCCAUACGAGCCACCUCAGGUGGGCACAGAGUUCACCACCAUCCUAUAUAACUUCAUGUGCAACUCCAGCUGUGUGGGAGGAAUGAACCGACGCCCCAUACUCAUCAUCGUCACCCUGGAAACCAGAGAAGGUCAGGUGCUGGGUCGGCGCUGCUUCGAGGCCAGGAUCUGUGCGUGUCCUGGCCGGGACCGCAAGGCGGACGAGGACAGCAUCCGCAAGCAGCACGUUACGGCCGGAACAAACUCCAGUGAGGGUAUGAAACGCCCCUUCCGCCAGGCCCCCCAUGGAAUCCAGAUGUCCUCCGUCAAGAAGAGAAGAUCCACCGAUGAGGAAGUGUUUUGUCUGCCUAUUAAAGGCCGUGAAAUCUAUGAGAUUUUGGUAAAAAUCAAAGAGUCUCUGGAACUCAUGCAGUUUCUGCCUCAGCACACUGUAGAGUCAUACAGGCAACAGCAGCAGAACCUUCUGCAGAAACAAUGGGAUCUCUGGGGGGAUGAGAGUAAUGGCCUGUACCCUCCUCUCUCCUGCCCCAGGAGCGCCAUGGCCCCCCAGCCCCAGUAUGGCUCCAGCUCCCCUCCUCACCCCCACGGCAAGGUCAACAAGCUCCCCUCCGUCAGCCAGCUAAUCAACCCCCAGCAGCGCAAUAUACUCACGCCUUCCUCCAUGCCACAAGGCCUGACUGACAUGACUCCGAUGAUGGGCCACAUGGCUAUGAACGCUGACAUGUCGACCCUGAGCCCCGCCCACAUCCUGCAGCCCCAGUUACCCAUGGUGCCCAGCUCCCACUGCACCCCCCCGCCUCCCUACCCCAUGGACAGCAGCAUCUCCAGCUUUCUUCUGCGGCUGGGCUGCGCAGCCUGCCUGGACUACUUCACAGCACAGGGCCUGACCAACAUCUACCAGAUCGAGAACUAUAACUUGGAGGACCUGUCCCGGCUGAAGAUCCCGCAGGAGUUCCAGCACGUCAUCUGGAAGGGCAUCAUGGAGCACCGGCAGAGCAUGGAGUUCUCCCCUCCUCCCCACAUCCUGCGUACCUCCAGCGGGGCCUCCGCCGUCAGCGUAGGGUCCUCCGAGGCCCGCGGCGAGCGGGUCAUCGACGCCGUGCGCUUCACCCUGCGCCAGACCAUCUCCUUCCCUCCGCGUGACGACUGGUCCGACUUCUCCUUCGACCUGGACUCCCGACGCAACAAGCAGCAGCGCAUCAAAGAGGAGGGUGAAUAGAGAGAGAGACACUCUGGCCGGAGUGUGUCUCUCGAGUUGUCGGGGGAAUUUUUUUUUAAAGCGCACUGCAACAAUAGGUCUGUAAAAGGCCAUUUUCUCUGACAUUCACAGAGAUCGCUUUUUUUUUUACAAACGCUGUAGAUGUCAGCUCAAGCAUAUAUUAGCUUUUAAAAAGUAGAGUGCAGUACUCUUCACAGCAGUGCACCUUGGAUUGAAGCCCCUGGCUCAGUCCCCCUUCAUAUGUCAUACACCUGUUGACCAACCCACUCUCCUAUCACAGUACAGGACUAGGACAUCUCUGCUUUAACGUUCUAAGCUCAGAUAAUCCUAAAUAGCAAAAAUACUAUGCAAAUAAAAAUGCACUUAUUUUUUUAAAUUUUUUUUAAAGCCUUCAUGCCAGCUAGAUAAGAGAAAACAGCUAUAUUCUUUAUUUUUUAAAAUCAAAUUUCUUGAGACAAAGCACUUAAGAAAUGCUUUUGUGAUUUGGUUUGAUAUUGUUUUAUAGUGUUCAUUAUCCAUUCCAAUGUUAAAGCAUGAGAGGAAGUUUCCUCUUUGAGAGGAAACUUUUAGGGGUUUUGUUUGUCCUUGGUUGAGAUUGAAUCCAAGGCGCGUUAUAGAGCAGGACACUAGACAGCCAAGAUUUUUCCUGACGUUAAGACAUGUAUUUAUGUCCGUUUUUCUGUCUUGCUGUUUGUUGACUCACUUGGGUAAACCAAGAAGAACCUCACAUUAAAACAGGCGAGUGGCGGCAUCUAGUGGCCACACUGGUACUGCACCAAUCACUGCUAAAUACAAUGUAAAAAUGGAGUCCUAUAUUAACGUCUGCUCAAACGUAAAUUACGGUCAUCACUAGUUACCAUAGCCAACAAAUCAUAAUUAUGGUGAACCCUUUGCCUAUUUCUAGCAUUUAUCUUCUAAAAAUCUGAUUUUAAACCUAAACCCACUGCCGACAUUAUGCCUAAUCUUAAGACUUCAUGAAUUUUACGAUAUAGCCAUUUUUACUUUGUGGCUGUGGUAACCAGUGACAACUUUAAAGAACCUAUAAAAGUCCAAGUGUAUUAUGCUGCUCAAUACUGUUAUGGUUACCUGUUAUUUUUUAGUUCACAACACUGUUUUGACCUGAUUGUAUACACUUCCAAGAUACAUAUUUUUUGACUUCCUGUCAGGGAGAAGUGUUAAUAACAUGCUGGAACUGGUUUUCUACUGUGCCUGUGUUAAACCCUCGUCGCUCCGAGAUGCCCAGGAAACCUAGUGUUAGCCGUCGUGUUUAUAAGUACCUAAUGUAUUUCUACGUGCACGACAAAAUAAUGCAUUAUCACAAACCGUUGGUACCUGAAGUAUUUACGUUUAUCAUUACCGAGUAACUGAAACUAACAAGAAACUCGAUAUGCUCAUAGCCCUUGAUGUUGUGAUGGUUACCAAUAAACGUGACCCGAUUGUGAUGGUGUUCACCUUUCCCAUUGUCGUGUCUCAAAGUGCACCCUACGCACUACUCGACCAGGGGGCCCUGGUCAGGGGUAGUGCACUAUAUAGGGAAUAGGGUGCCAGCCCUGAUCAGAGGUAGUGCACUAUAUAGGGAAUAGGGUGCUAGCCCUGAUCAGAGGUAGUGCACUAUAUAGGGAAUAGGGUGCUAGCCCUGAUCAGAGGUAGUGCACUAUAUAUAGGGAAUAGGGUGCUAGCCCUGGUCAGAGGUAGUGCACUAUAUAGGGAAUAGGGUGCUAGCCCUGAUCAGAGGUAGUGCACUAUAUAUAGGGAAUAGGGUGCUAGCCCUGGUCAGAGGUAGUGCACUAUAUAGGGAAUAGGGUGCUAGCCCUGAUCAGAGGUAGUGCACUAUAUAUAGGGAAUAGGGUGCUAGCCCUGAUCAGAGGUAGUGCACUAUAUAGGGAAUAGGGUGCUAGCCCUGAUCAGAGGUAGUGCACUAUAUAUAGGGAAUAGGGUGCUAGCCCUGAUCAGAGGUAGUGCACUAUAUAUAGGGAAUAGGGUGCUAGCCCUGAUCAGAGGUAGUGCACUAUAUAGGGAAUAGGGCAACAUUUGGAACACAUUAAUUGCCUGCUUGUUCUGCCACCUAUGUACUGUCUAUGGAUCGUGUGUGUGUGUGUGGGGGGGGGGUCUGUUGAGAACAUUUCUGGUCUAUAUUUCUCUAUUGUAAAUGAUGUUAGUUGUACAAUUGAUGGAUUGUUGUUUUUUGGAACCACAGUGUCUAAAACUUUUUCUAUUUGUUGAACUUGAUAGAUGGCCAAACCUAUUGGGAUUAUUGUAUACACACACACACACACACACACACACACACACACACACACACACACACACAGUUAUUUUCUAAAAGCUACAUGAUAAGUAUUUUCCCAAAAAGGUAAAUAUUUGACAAAAAAAAAUAAAAGAAAAAGGAAUUUAAGAAUAGUUUGUGGUUAAAAGCCAGAACGGAACAGUUAAAAGGAGUUUAUUUUGUAUUCAUUAAAAUGAAUAAAUCUGGUCUUCUCACAAGUCAUUGUUGUCGUUGUGCGAAUACACACGGUCAGAGGAAUGUUGCCAUAAAACUGGACAUCAUCGAUAUGUUAGAGAAACAUGACCCUGGUAUGUUGUUGUUGUUGUUGUUGUUGUCGUCGGGAACAUCGAAAGCAGAAAACCAGUACCGUCUAAUCUAUUGUUCCUUAUUUUUCUACAAUGUAUUGUAAAUAUAUUGCAAUGUACUUAUUUUGAUAUAAACCAAAAAAUAAAAUACCGCCUAGUUACCAAA
Molecule: RNA transcript, 4946 nt
Organism: Oncorhynchus keta (chum salmon)
Lineage: Eukaryota; Metazoa; Chordata; Actinopteri; Salmoniformes; Salmonidae
Gene name: tumor protein 63-like
Exons: 16
Source: RefSeq, a predicted model, not a curated record